GCCAGGCAUGGUGGUGCAAGUCUGUAGUCCUAGCUACUUAGAAGGCUGAGGUGGGAGGAUCGCUUGAGGCCAGGAGUUCAAGGCUGCAGUGAGCUAUGAUUGCACCACUGCGGUCCAGCCUGGGUGACAGAGCGAGACCCCAUUUCUU
This 148-nucleotide non-coding RNA is filed under the name Nomascus leucogenys (northern white-cheeked gibbon). The record is from Rfam by way of RNAcentral. Lineage: Eukaryota; Metazoa; Chordata; Mammalia; Primates; Hylobatidae.